RNAcentral lists this unclassified non-coding RNA (200 nucleotides) under soil metagenome. Its description in RNAcentral is "partial contains internal transcribed spacer 2 and large subunit ribosomal RNA". The record is from RNAcentral.
AUGUGGAGGUGUGCAGGUCUACACUCAGUGUGGUCUGCUCCUCUGAAAUGUAUUAGUGGGUUAGGCUCCUAGUCUAUUGGUGUGAUAAUUAUCUACGCCGUGGAUCAGGAUGCUUGUAUAGACCUGCUUCUAACCGUCCGCAAGGGACAACUUAUGACAAUUUUGACCUCAAAUCAGGUAAGACUACCCGCUGAACUUAA